GACAGAGGGUGCAAACGUUGUUCGGAAUUACUGGGCGUAAAGGGCGCGUAGGCGGCGACUCAAGUUAGAUGUGAAAGUCCUGGGCUUAACCUGGGGACUGCAUUUGAUACUGGGUUGCUUGAAUUCGGGAGAGGAUAGCGGAAUUCCUGGUGUAGAGGUGAAAUUCGUAGAUAUCAGGAGGAACACCGGUGGCGAAAGCGGCUUCCUGGCCCGACACUGACGCUCAUGUACGAAAGCGUGGGGAGCAAACAGG
RNAcentral lists this ribosomal RNA (253 nucleotides) under uncultured bacterium. Its description in RNAcentral is "partial 16S ribosomal RNA". It matches the Rfam family "Bacterial small subunit ribosomal RNA", at positions 524 to 776 of the family's 1533-position model. The record is from RNAcentral.